UACGGAGGAUCCAAGCGUUAUCCGGAAUCAUUGGGUUUAAAGGGUCCUAGGCGGUUUGGUAAGUCAGUGGUGAAAGCCCAUCGCUCAACGGUGGAACGGCCAUUGAUACUGCUAGACUUGAAUUAUUAGGAAGUGAACUAGAAUAUGUAGUGUAGCGGUGAAAUGCUUAGAGAUUACAUGGAAUACCAAUUGCGAAGGCAGGUUAACUACUAAUGGAUUGACGCUGAUGGACGAAAAGCG
Molecule: ribosomal RNA, 240 nt
Filed under: uncultured bacterium
Lineage: Bacteria
Description: partial 16S ribosomal RNA
Rfam family: Bacterial small subunit ribosomal RNA
Source: RNAcentral